AAAUCUUAGUAAUAAUUUAAACUACUUCAUUAAAUUUGCAAUUUAAUAUUUUUUUAAUAAAAUAUAAGAUU
Molecule: transfer RNA, 71 nt
Filed under: Syrista sp. 1 GYN-2021c
Lineage: Eukaryota; Metazoa; Arthropoda; Insecta; Hymenoptera; Cephidae
Description: tRNA-Cys
Source: RNAcentral